CAGAGUUGAGAUCGGGUCGUCUCCCCCUGGCGGAAGGAGGCAAACCCGAGCUCCUCCUUC
This 60-nucleotide microRNA precursor is filed under the name Murid gammaherpesvirus 4 (Murine herpesvirus 68). RNAcentral describes it as "microRNA mghv-mir-M1 precursor (mghv-mir-M1-5)". Its record names the gene mghv-mir-M1-5. The record is from miRBase by way of RNAcentral. Lineage: Duplodnaviria; Heunggongvirae; Peploviricota; Herviviricetes; Herpesvirales; Orthoherpesviridae.